RNAcentral lists this ribosomal RNA (396 nucleotides) under uncultured bacterium. RNAcentral describes it as "partial 16S ribosomal RNA". It matches the Rfam family "Bacterial small subunit ribosomal RNA", at positions 523 to 918 of the family's 1533-position model. The record is from RNAcentral.
AUACGUAGGGAGCGAGCGUUGUCCGGAAUUACUGGGUGUAAAGGGAGCGUAGGCGGGAGUGCAAGUCAGAUGUGAAAUACAUGGGCUCAACCCAUGGGCUGCAUUUGAAACUGCAUUUCUUGAGUGAAGUAGAGGUAAGCGGAAUUCCUGGCGUAGCGGUGAAAUGCGUAGAUAUCAGGAGGAACACCGGUGGCGAAGGCGGCUUACUGGGCUUUUACUGACGCUGAGGCUCGAAAGCGUGGGGAGCAAACAGGAUUAGAUACCCUGGUAGUCCACGCUGUAAACGAUGAUUACUAGGUGUGGGGGGACUGACCCCUUCCGUGCCGCAGUUAACACAAUAAGUAAUCCACCUGGGGAGUACGGCCGCAAGGUUGAAACUCAAAUGAAUUGGCGGGG